GUCUUUAUGGUGUAAAAUUGCACGACAGAUUUUCAUUCUGUAAGAAUUUAUUAAAAUUAAAGGUU
RNAcentral lists this transfer RNA (65 nucleotides) under Phoronopsis harmeri. RNAcentral describes it as "tRNA-Glu". Lineage: Eukaryota; Metazoa; Phoronida; Phoronidae. The record is from RNAcentral.